GACUUAAUACUUUGGAAGUACUGGACCUUGAACGUCCUAUUAAGAUGUUCGACUCAUCUUUAAGUCU
RNAcentral lists this transfer RNA (67 nucleotides) under Dendrobaena tellermanica. RNAcentral describes it as "tRNA-Ser". Lineage: Eukaryota; Metazoa; Annelida; Clitellata; Crassiclitellata; Lumbricidae. The record is from RNAcentral.